Molecule: ribosomal RNA, 313 nt
Filed under: uncultured Chytridiomycetes
Lineage: Eukaryota; Fungi; Chytridiomycota; Chytridiomycetes
Description: partial large subunit ribosomal RNA
Rfam family: Eukaryotic large subunit ribosomal RNA
Source: RNAcentral
AUAUCAAUAAGCGGAGGAAAAGAAACUAACAAGGAUUCCCCUAGUAACGGCGAGUGAAGCGGGAAUAGCUCAAAUUGAAAUCUCAUGCCUUUGGUAUGCGAAUUGUAGUUUGUAGAAGUGUUUUCGCAGGUAGCUCUGGUCAAAGUCCUUUGGAACAGGGCAUCAGAGAGGGUGAGAAUCCCGUUUUGGGCUAGAGACCUACUUGCAUGAGAUACACUUUCCAAGAGUCAGGUUGUUUGGGAAUGCAGCCUAAAAUGGGUGGUAAAUACCAUCUAAAGCUAAAUAUUGGCGAGAGACCGAUAGCGCACAAGUA